GACGAACGCUGGCGGCGUGCUUAACACAUGCAAGUCGAACGGUGAAGCCCCUUCCUUUUUGGGUGGUGUGGAGGAGUAGCGAACGGGUGAGUAACACGUGAGUAACCUGCCCCCUUCUUUUGGAUAACGGCACGAAAGUGUGGCUCAUAUGGGAUCUCCUGCGUCUGUCGCAUGAUGGGUCUGGGAAAGCUCUUGGGUCGGUGGGGGCUGGGCUCGGGGCCUUUCAGCUGGUUGGGGGGGUGAUGGCCUACCACGGCGGUGACGAGUAGCCGGCGUGGGAGGGUGGCCGGGCGGAGGGGGAAUGCGACCCGGCCGGGACUGGUACGGGCCGCAGCCGCGGGGAAUAGUGCACAAUGGGCGGAAGCCUGAUGCGGCGACGCCGCGGGAGGGAUGGCGCCGUUCGGGGUGUGAGCCUCUUUCGCCAGUGAAGGAGGCCCGCCUCGUUUGGGGGUGGGUUGACGGUAGCUGGAUAAGAAGCGCCGGCUAACUACGUG
RNAcentral lists this ribosomal RNA (494 nucleotides) under uncultured bacterium. Its description in RNAcentral is "partial 16S ribosomal RNA". It matches the Rfam family "Bacterial small subunit ribosomal RNA", at positions 28 to 507 of the family's 1533-position model. The record is from RNAcentral.